This is a long non-coding RNA of Papaver somniferum (opium poppy), 1882 nucleotides long. RefSeq lists it as uncharacterized. The record is from RefSeq and is a predicted model, not a curated record. NCBI's taxonomy places the organism in Eukaryota, Viridiplantae, Streptophyta, Magnoliopsida, Ranunculales, Papaveraceae. The transcript has 6 exons.
UAGAGGUCAAUCGAAUGCGCUGACAAAUGGUUGUUUGUAUUCCUCAUCUUCGCCGGGUAAAAAGAAGAAAAUCGCUGUAAAAUCAUUCUCAUGAUGUAAGUCUUCUAAUCGACUUAUAAAUUGUCUCCUGUAGGAAUUGAUCCUGCCAAAUCAACAGCUAGAUCUAGAAGAUCGUUUAGCUAUCUAGAGAGGCAAAAUUAGUUUUCCCAUCCUAAAGCUGAAUCAAAGAAAGAUCCAGAAGCGAUUUGAUAGAAAACCAGGUAACUCUAAUUUUUAUUAACUUUGGACUGUUGAACCUUCCUUUACCAACUCAGCAUCUUCAUGAUGCCACUCAUUAAAUGGCAUGGACCAAUAUAUGGAAAAGACAUACUAUAGACGACAUCAUUGAUCACGAAUAGCUGCAAAGCAAUCUCCCUUCUGGAAGGGCUUGGCAUAUCAAUUAAUUGACGAUGUUCCCGCUUUCACGGGGACGUCAGCUUCCCUUGGAAAGGUUUCGCUUUCUGACAUCUGUUGUGUAAUUCCCUUGGUCACAGAAUUUAUCUUUGCAUUAUCUAGGAGUAGAUGAACGAAGGUAGGAAACCAUUUUCAUAAGGACCUUUAAACUCACUAUUUCUUACCAUUUGGUGCAUGAAGUUUUCGGCCUUAAUAGAGAAUUAAUUGCUUCUCAUUUGGUAUCACAAAAUGCAGUACAAUAUACACAUAAGAAAAUGCUUGCCGAAACAGGGUACUUUGUAUAAGGUGGCUCUAUUGUGUAAGAGAUUUAUGUAGUUUAUAAUCGGUGGUUCUUUUUGUCACAUAUAUAUUGCUGAAAUUGCUUGCCGAUAAACGGGUACUUCGUAAUUCUGAAGUUGAGUGUUACUCUAAUUAAAAUAAUUUACAUCAUUUAUGUAAAAAAUAUAUUCCAGCAAUAUUUUACUCAAUUUAGAUUAUAGAUGAUGGUGUUUGGGAUACUUCAAGAUGGUAUAUAUAUUUAUUUAUUUCUUGCUCUCUCCCUGUUUAUUUUCAAUGUUGUGCAGUUAACAUGUCCAACACCGCAUCCAUCUAAAGACCCCUUAAUUAUUUCCUAUUUAUGUUAACUCUUUAUAUGUAGGCCGCUAAUGUCAUCAUGUGUAACGCAACCGCCACCAAUGUGUUGAGCGUAAGUGAGUGGCACUUUCUUGCCUGUCCUAGGUGUAACAAGAAAGGUCUUGGUGAGCAGGGUGACCUUUGGUGCACUAAAUGUGAAACCAAAGUUGAUCCAUCUCUAGGUUUAUGCUUCGCUUUGAAGUGAAGGACCACACUGGCACCACAAUCUUUGUAGCUCCGGAUAAUGAGAUCCAGAAAUUGGUACACCAAACUGAGGAUGAGUUCAUAACAGCGUCAGAGGUAAUCUAGCUAGGUCCAUGUUCACCGGUUUGAAUGUAAAAGCGGCGGUGAGGUCUGGAUUCUUAGAGAGCCUGCAUCAAUCCGUGGGAAUUCUAGAUUACUCUCAAUUCCUUCAAUAUGAAGCAGAAAGUUCCAACCGGUUUCACCCUCAACGGCGUUAACCCCUAUACUCUGCCUGUGCAUUUAAAAAUAGAACAAAGAUAUUUCUGCAUCUGUGAAAGUUGAAGGGACCUCGAACAAUGUUGGACCGCCACUAAGAAGGAUCGCCUUGAGGAAACUGUUCAAGUGGGGGAUGAUGAAGCUGAUGAAUGAUCCACCUCACCACCUGAAAUUGUUUAGUCAAUGUCAUUCUGUGUUUUGUGUUUGCUUUUUUUUCACACCAUGUUUACCAACCUAUGCAGGCCUGAUAAUAGUUAAGUUAAUUAUGGAAGUUUUAGAACUUUAGUUAUGAACGUCAUUUUCAUAUUGCAAGAUAGUAGGAUAACUUUAAUACCGUAUAUCUCAUUUUUAUAGAAUA